GGUUCGAUUAUGGCUCAGAUUGAACGCUGGCGGGAUGCUUUUACACAUGCAAAAGUCGAACGGCAGCACGGACUUCGGUCUGGUGGCGAGUGGCGAACGGGUGAGUAAUGUAUCGGAACGUGCCUGCAGUGGUGGAUAACUACGCGAAAGCGUAAAGUACCACCGCCAUUGCCCUUCGGGGGAAAGCGGGGACCUUCGGGCCUCGCACUAUUAGAGCGGCCGAUAUCGGAUUAGCUAGUUGGUGGGGUAACGGCUCACCAAGGCGACGAUCCGUAGCUGGUUUGAGAGGACGACUCGGCCACACUGGGACCGAGACACGGCCCAGACUACGGGAGGCAGCAGUGAAUUUUGGACAAUGGGGGAAGCCCUGAUCCAGCCAUCUCAAGCGUGCGAUGAAGGCCUUGGUUGUAAAGCACUUUGGCAGGAAAGAAAACGGCACGAUAAUACCCGUGCAACUGACGGUACCUGCAGGAAGGUAAGCACCUCGGCUAACUACGUGCCAGCAGCCGCGGUAAUACGUAGGGUGCAAGCGUUAAUCGGAAUUACUGGGCGCAAGCGUGCGCAGGCGGUUCGGAAAGAAAGAUGAAAUCCCAGAGCUUAACUUUGGAACUGCAUUUUUAAUCACCGAGCUAGAGUGUGUCAGAGGAGGUGGAAUUCCGCGUGUAGCAGUGAAAUGCGUAGAUAUGCGGAGGAACACCGAUGGCGAAGGCAGCCUCCUGGGAUAACACUGACGCUCAUGCACGAGAGCGGGGAGCAAAACAGGAUUAGAUACCCUGGUAGUCCAUACGCCCUAAACGAUGUCAACUAGCUGUUGGGGCCUUCUGGCCCUGGUAGCGCAGCUAACGCGUGAAGUUGACCGCCUGGGGAGUACGGUCGCAAGAUUAAAACUCAAAGGAAUUGACGGGACCCGCACAAGCGGUGGAUGAUGUGGAUUAAUUCGAUGCAACGCGAAAAACCUUACCUACCCUUGACAUGUCUGGAAUCCCGAAGAGAUUUGGGAGUGCUCGCAAGAGAACCGGAACACAGGCGUUGUACGGCUGUCGCCGUCUGUGUCGUGAGAUGUUGGGUUAAGUCCCGCAACGAGCGCAACCCUUUGUCAUUAGUUGCUACGAAAGGGCACUCUAUCGAGACUGCCGGUGACAAACCGAGGAAGGUGGGGAUGACGUCAAGUCCUCAUGGCCUUAUGGGUAGGGCUUCGACACUGUCAUACAAUGGUCGGGACAGAGGGUCGCUAACCCGCGAGGGGGAGCCAAUCCCAGAAACCCGAUCGUAGUCCGGAUCGCAGUCUGCAACUCGACUGCGUGAAGUCGGAAUCGCUAGUAAUCGCGGAUCAGCAUGCCGCGGUGAAUACGUUCCCGGGUCUUGUACACACCGCCCGUCACACCAUGGGAGUGGGUUUUACCAGAAGUAGUUAGCCUAACCGUAAGGAGUGCUGAUUACCACGGUAGGAUUCAUGACUGGGGUGAAGUCGUAACAAGGUAA
RNAcentral lists this ribosomal RNA (1482 nucleotides) under uncultured Bordetella sp. Its description in RNAcentral is "partial 16S-23S ribosomal RNA intergenic spacer". It matches the Rfam family "Bacterial small subunit ribosomal RNA". The record is from RNAcentral. Lineage: Bacteria; Pseudomonadati; Pseudomonadota; Betaproteobacteria; Burkholderiales; Alcaligenaceae.